GAAGGGGGCUAGCGUUGUUCGGAAUCACUGGGCGUAAAGGGCGCGUAGGCGGCCGAUCAGGUCGGGGGUGAAAGCCUGUGGCUCAACCACAGAAUGGCCUUCGAUACUGUUCGGCUCGAGACCGGAAGAGGUGAGUGGAACUGCGAGUGUAGAGGUGAAAUUCGUAGAUAUUCGCAAGAACACCAGUGGCGAAGGCGGCUCACUGGUCCGGUUCUGACGCUGAGGCGCGAAAGCGUGGGGAGCAAACAGGAUUAGAUACCCUGGUAGUCCACGCCGUAAACGAUGGAUGCUAGCCGUUGGCGAGCUUGCUCGUCAGUGGCGCAGCUAACGCUUUAAGCAUCCCGCCUGGGGAGUACGGUCGCAAGAUUA
This 369-nucleotide ribosomal RNA is filed under the name uncultured organism. Its description in RNAcentral is "bacterial SSU rRNA". It matches the Rfam family "Bacterial small subunit ribosomal RNA", at positions 527 to 896 of the family's 1533-position model. The record is from RNAcentral.